Molecule: long non-coding RNA, 2383 nt
Filed under: Homo sapiens (human)
Lineage: Eukaryota; Metazoa; Chordata; Mammalia; Primates; Hominidae
Description: HSALNT0220705
Source: RNAcentral
CAGUGGCAUGAUCAUGGCUCAACGCAGCCUUCAACUCCUGGGCUCAAGCAAUCCUCCCACCUCAGUCUUUGAGUAGCUGGGACUACAGGUGUGCACCACCACACCCGGCUAUAUGGUAAGAUUUUUAAAGGAGAUCAUGCGAUUACAGAAUCACAAACUAUAGGCGUAUAAAACAGCUGCCGCAAUGAUGCAAACCUUCAUUUUAAUAACACUCAAGUUGGCAAUAACUGAGCUCUGAGGUGCUACUCAUUCAUUCCUCAGUAGUGAGACAAUGGUAAAGCCCUCAAUUUGCUGCUGCCUCCACUCAACCACAGUGUUAAUAGUUUACAUUUAUUUCAUCUAAACUGAGAGCACCUGAGGUCAGAGGCUACCUUGCAUUCAUUUUCAUAUUGGUCCCAGUUCCUGGUCCACAGUAGGUCCUCAACAAAUGUUUGCUAUUUAUUAAGAAUAUUUUACUCUAUUAGUACAAAUUCUAUACAUACUUAUGUUCCCAAUAUAAUAUAUAUAGCAGUAACUCUGAAAUUUUCUACUUUAAAUUUUUAAUAAAAUAGUUUUAGAUAGAAUCAUAACUUUUACUUCCUUAUUAAACAAUAACCACAGUAUUGUUUAGGUACACAGCAAUGCUCUUAGGGACGGAAAACUAAGAUAUUCAAAGCUACUUGGCCUACAUUACAGGAUGGCAAAUUUUUGUACGUUUAUAACCAGUCAUUCUGUGGUCAUGUCUUAGCCAUUUUGAUUCUAGUAGCAUUGUUCCUGCUGCCCUGUCUCUUGCUACUUUUAAUCUGCUAUCCAAUUUAUGAAACCAGAUAACUAUCUUUAUGAAAUUAGCAACCUUAACACAUAUUCUAAGAUGACAAACACUAGCCUAUACAAUCUAUGGAACAAAGUGCAUUCACUACAUGUCUCAUAUCUUGAUGCCUUUUUAAACUUAAAAGAAUUCUUGAUCCUUUUUUGAUAGGUGGGAAUGCCCAAAGUUUAAUUUUAACCUAAGUGGGAAAAUUUCCACAUUAUAAAGAGAUAAAGGUAGAGCUAUGAGAGCAGUAUGAAAUAGAGAAGUAGUAAAAGCACAGGAAGUAAACAGAAGGAAACGAGAUGAGAAUAAGAAGACAAAGUUGAACGAGUAAGAGAGACUGAGAAGAAAACAAGAGGAAAUGGGUAGAACUAACUAGAGCGAGACAAGAAAAAUAAGACACAGGCUCCAAGAGAAGUGUUAGGGCAGAAUGCCUAGUGCUCUUUUUCACAGCUUGGUGGUUAUCUGGGACCUGAGCAUAAGUUACCUCUCCCAUCACUCUUCUUUGAAAUAAUCUAUCAGUUUAGAAAGUCUCUUUUGCACUGAGAAAUAGUGGCAUGGUUUUAUUUUAAAACUUCAAAGUUAAUUUUUUGGCCGGGCUCAGCGGCUCACGCCUGUAACGCCAGCACUUGGGGAAGCCGAGGUGGUCGGAUCGCUUGAGGUCAGGAGUUUGAGACCAGGCUGGGCAGCCUGGCGAAACGCUGUCUCUACUAAAAAUACAAAAAAAUUAGCUGGGCGUGGUGGUGUAUGUCUGUAAUCCCAGCUACUCAGGAGGCUGAGGUGGAAGAAUUGCUCAAACCCAGGAGGCGGGAGUUGGAGUGAGCCGAGAUGAUCACACCAUUGCACUCCAGCUCAGGCGACAGAGUCAAACUCCAUCUCAAAACAAACAAACAAACAACAACAACAACAAAAAAAUCCCAGAACAAACAAAAAAACUUCAAAGUUUAUUUUUGAAGCAAAAAUACUUACUGUUUCAUAGUAGUCUAUAUUUUCUACAGAGUAUGAAACAAUGAUCUAGGUUUUAGAGGAUCUGUAAACUAGCUCUUGCCUAAAGUCCCUGACAUGUACAAUCUGUUAGAUUGCUGGAUACUUUUUGUGGGGGAGGUAGUUUGAGGUUUUCUCCAGUGUGCUAAUGUUACAGUUAUAACUGACUUACGAAAUAACUGCCUUAACUCUUCUUUUCUUUUACCCUAAAUGAAAUCUUCUUUGUGGUCUGGUUUGACCCUAUAUGUAGUCUCAUUUGACCCUAUAUGUAGUCUCAUUUGACCCUAUAUAUGUAGUGGCGGUAGGAACUAAAACCCUCAGGAAAAGGUGAGUUACUAAUAUUUGUAGUUUAUCUAUCAAACAAUCUAUCAAAUUCCAGACUUUCAGUUCAAAAUGAGACAGCCACGAAACUGACCAAAUGAAACUGCACUUGAUAUUUUUUUCUGUUCCACACCCCGCACUCAUCUGCCUUUACUUACUACCUUUAAUCUGUUGAUAAAAUUGGGAAAAAAACUACAUACUGCUGAAAGCAGAUUAUAAAAAUGAAGUUACCAGCUGGGCGAGGUGGCUCAUGCCUGUAAUCCUAGCACUUUGGGAGGCUGAGGCGGG